RNAcentral lists this transfer RNA (84 nucleotides) under Nanobdellota archaeon. RNAcentral describes it as "tRNA-Leu". It matches the Rfam family "tRNA". Rfam says of the family: Transfer RNA (tRNA) molecules are approximately 80 nucleotides in length. Their secondary structure includes four short double-helical elements and three loops (D, anti-codon, and T loops). The record is from RNAcentral. Lineage: Archaea; Nanobdellati; Nanobdellota.
GCGGGAGUGUCAGAGUGGUCAAAUGAGGCAGCCUUAGGAGCUGUUGGCUUAGUGCCUGCAUAGGUUCAAAUCCUAUCUCCCGCA